GUCAUCUCCAGCUCGCGGAUGGUUUCCUCCAGGCUGUCCAGUCUCUGGUCCUCGUCCGGUUUGACGUCGCGGCGCUCCAGGAUGGCGCUGGGGCUGGGGGACACGCCCUGGGCGGGGGGCAGGCUGGACAGGCGCUCGCCGUGGUGGACGGGGCUGCCGGCGUACGAGGGCGGGCGGCCGCCGCUGUAGGACAUGCGGGAGCGCGACGGCGACGAGGACUGCAGCACGGGCGGCGGGGAGCCGGAGGCCAGGAGAUCUCUGCUGUUCCUGGCCAGGGAGUGUCCCUGCAUGGCCGAUAAAAUUCCAUCAUCCCAUUGGGAGAUGCUCCGCCCAGGGGGAGGAGCCAAGAAUUCCUACUUGGGUAUAAUCUGAGGUUUGGAACAGCACAGCAGCCUCUGCUCACUGCAUUCCCAGAGGAGCAGCU
Long non-coding RNA from Passer montanus (Eurasian tree sparrow), 424 nucleotides. RefSeq lists it as uncharacterized. NCBI's taxonomy places the organism in Eukaryota, Metazoa, Chordata, Aves, Passeriformes, Passeridae. The transcript has 3 exons. The record is from RefSeq and is a predicted model, not a curated record.